AAGCUUGGUUGUAUUUGUGUUUGGACAUUAAAGGGAAGGACCUUUUUCUGUUUUGUGAAAAUAAAUCACAGUGAUUUUCCUUUGAAUCUUAGGACUGGAGAUCCUGGUUAGCUUUGACUAGCUUGGCAUGUACCUAAUCAGUUUGGGCCUUAACCUUAGCCUGUAUCUGCUGCCCUCCUAUUCUUCUCUCAUUUUUCUUAUCUCUUCAUCCAUUUUCUUUUCCAACACAGUAACUGGUACCUGAAAAAAGACACAUUCAUCCUUCAGCAUUGAUGAUGGGUGCUCAUGGUCCUUGUGGUGUUUAAACAAAACAUUACUUGAGGUGGAGAGAGAUCAUAAGAAACAGAUUGAGGAUUUCUUUGCCACAGUGUAUUCAUGCAGAGCUGGCAGAGAGAUGUGACAACCUUUUGGCCACAAAUCGCCCUUCUUCAGGUCUUGGAAAGAAGCAGACCUUUGGCCCUGUAUUUCAACGGAUGCUGAUUCUACACAAGUGGCCUCCCUUUGGACAAUUCUUGAUUUAGGAGAUUAACAGAUCCCCAAAUACACGGAAUUCAGUUCUCUUCCUCUUCCACUUCUUCCAGAAGACCACCUUCCUUUGAGUGUUGCUGCAGGAAAGGUAUUGCAGUUUAAAAAGUCAGUGCUGCUUCCCCUGCAUUUCAUCUCCCCAUUAGAUGGGAGACUUGAGCGACUGACCUUCUAAAUUAGCUUGCACAAGAAACAAGGUGAGACAGUAGGAGAAAGGAAACCAGAAUAUUUCAGUCUACCUACAAAUUGUAUUUAUACACAAACUUACUGCUUAGAUAAGAACAGCACUCUUAAUUUAAGUGCAUCCAAAUGAGUGUAACCCAGACUGCAAGAGGACAAUGAAGUGCCUUUGUCUCCAUCAACACACUUGGUAAUCUAAUUAAAAAUGUACAUGGAAGAUAUAACAGAAGUAAAGAGAAACUUUUUCCAACAGCAAGUCUGCUGAAGACAAGGAGUAAGGUUAGUCUCGUCAGAGUAAGUGAAUCAAAAUCUUUUCCUUCUGCUCCUUCCAGGUUCAAGUGCCUAAAAGGAUGCUUUGCUAAACUCUGUAUUCUCGAAUUGAAAUAAAAAUUGUUCACCUUCAUGCAGAAAUUAGUAGGUUCUGCCCUGCGUUAGGUAUGCACCAGAGUAUAUCAUUAUAACUGUAUCUUCUGGGCUUUAAAAUCUGCAGUCUUGGUGUAGUGCUAUUCACUGGAGUGCUGGUUUAGUGAUGACUGUCUGAAGAAGACCCUCCAGCAACAGUUAUUUAUAGCAGCGUGUAGGGUCACCCUCCUUUUGCCUACACUCCUAACACCAUACUUCACAGGCUGCUUAUGGGGGUGAUGCACAAACACUUAACAUGAAGUACAAGAAUUCUGCAGCCCAUGAGAGGCUUUGUAAAGAUUUUUUUUUUAAUACCACCACAAGACUACAGCAGGUACCUAACCCCCUUAGGUUCAUCUGCAAAUCCCUACCUAUAGUGCUACUAUGUAAGCUUUUCACCCACCUCUGAAGUUCUGUAAUAAGAGCCUUAUGGCUGAUGAAGUUGUCCAGGAAACACUUUUAUUUUUCUAAUACAGGCUGUAACUAUUUCUAUAGUAUGGGAAUGAAGUGUGUUGGCAGCGGAUGUAAAGAAUCCCAUUACAGUCCCAGGGGUACGGUUCAGAGGUGGUUAGCUACAUUAGUCUGAAGUCAGGCAGCAGAUAGCAUUGUAGCACCUUUAGAUACUAACUGGUUCAGUGGCACCUGCCUUUUUAGGCAACCAUCUAUUUUGUCAGAUGCUGCAAAUGGGCUCAGGGAAGGGUGGUGUGAGCCUUGCUCAUUGCUCGAAGGUUGCCUCCAGUCAAUCCAGCUGCAAAUAAAUAGCUGGUCAUGCAGGCUGGAGAGUGGAAAGUAGGCAGAUGUAGUUUUAGCCACAUCACUGCCCUGUACUGUUGGCUACAGAAAGUCAUAUGUUGUAAGCAUGCCAGCCUGAUGGGCUGCUAGCCUCCAUCAGACUUGCAUUCUCUUACAAUAAGAUUUCUGUAGGAAAGUGUUGGUUUUCCCUUCUUUACAUAUUAUAUAGGAAUUUUCUGAGAGGACCUACAAUGGUGUCCCCCUACCCCCACAUAAACUUUUUUUUGUUUUUAGCCUUAGAUUUUAAUAAGUCAAUUGUUGGAAUCUAAACCAUCAGUGCUCCUGGUCAGGAAAGGCUUUGCACAUCCUGAAACAGAGCAGGAUUAGCGUGUGCGUGUGUGCACAUGCACACAUUUUAAAGCUAAGCUUCUCAACAACACCUGCUGCAGUAUACUGCAUUGCACUAUUCUCUUGCAACAAGUAUAUCCUCCUUCCAAUAUUUUAGCAUCUCUGAUAAUACACCUACUCUACUGCCUGCCAGCAUAAUUACAGCAAUCAGCAACUUAGUUCCAAGAGAACUAAAAUCACAAGCUAAACUUUCCUUAUUUUUAGGGAGUUCUUUAGCUGCCUCCUUUUAAGGCUGUGCUUUGGUCUCUGCUUGCUGUUGGAGUGAACUCAGAUGGUGAUUUAGGGCUGUGGUGCUUAGUGAGGGGUCUGGUUCAGGCCUUGUAGUCAUAAGUAUGGCAGCUGCAUGCUGCCCAGGGCAGCCCCUGCUCCUUCUGCGCUGACUGUGGCAAUAUGAUCAGCCACCACUAGGGCAAUGUCUGCUUUUGCACCCCACCAGGAAGGUGGUGCCAGGGGCUGUUACCCUGGUUGCCCUUUCAGUUAUGCUUCUGGUUGCAGUUCCUUUUUCACUGACCCCAGGGGGGUUUGGAUAGGGUCUCAAGUCAGUCCAACUCUUGCUGAAGUUAGGACUCGCAUGGAUCUCACAAGGAGAAGCACUGGGCUGUAACAGAGGCCUCUGCUUGUGAUGAUGCUUUUCAUCUUCAUAAGAGACUGGUGACUUGGAGUUUUAGCCAGAUGCUUGGCUACUGUGCCUGCUCGUAGAAAGCACCCGCGACUUCUCUUUGGAACAGCUUCAAGGACUUUGGCUGGUUUGGCAGCUUCCAGACCCCUUCAGCUGAGUCAUUUCUCCUAGCAUCUGUCUCAGGCUGGCAGAAUGCUUCUGAGGAACCUCUCAAUUGCCAGCUAAAACUCUGCUGACCAAUACAACGUGACUUGGAGGAAGAGCAGGGACUUAGCCCUUUUUGCAAAUAUAAGCAUACAUAUUUAUACAGACUGGGAGAAUGGCAACAUUAACU
Molecule: long non-coding RNA, 3200 nt
Organism: Alligator mississippiensis (American alligator)
Lineage: Eukaryota; Metazoa; Chordata; Crocodylia; Alligatoridae
Exons: 4
Source: RefSeq, a predicted model, not a curated record